RNAcentral lists this long non-coding RNA (228 nucleotides) under Vicia faba (fava bean). The record is from RNAcentral. Lineage: Eukaryota; Viridiplantae; Streptophyta; Magnoliopsida; Fabales; Fabaceae.
AUGCUACUGCAACGGAGAGAGAUGCUAGCAGAUGGAAAUCGCACGAGCGCAGUCAGUAGCAGAGAAGCGGAAAUCGUUGAACUAUUGUGUUGGUCGAAGGUUCAGUGGCGUGAGGGAAUUGAAGAUGAUGCACUAAGGGUUGAUGAAGAUGAGUGGUCGCAUGGAAGUUUGUGGUUUGGACGUAGCAGUGUGUUGACGAAAGUUAAUAGAGGGAUUAUGCGCGGUUAG